This 513-nucleotide ribosomal RNA is filed under the name uncultured bacterium. Its description in RNAcentral is "partial 16S ribosomal RNA". It matches the Rfam family "Bacterial small subunit ribosomal RNA", at positions 28 to 523 of the family's 1533-position model. The record is from RNAcentral.
GACGAACGCUGGCGGCAUGCCUAAUACAUGCAAGUCGAGCGAACAGAUGGAGUGCUUGCACUUCUGACGUUAGCGGCGAACGGGUGAGUAACACGUAAGGAAUCUACCUAUAAGCGGGGGAUAACAUUCGGAAACGGGUGCUAAUACCGCAUAAUAUCUUCUUCCGCAUGGAAGAAGAUUGAAAGACGGCUCUGCUGUCACUUAUAGAUGACCUUGCGGUGCAUUAGUUAGUUGGUGGGGUAACGGCCUACCAAGACGAGGAUGCAUAGCCGACAUGAGAGGGUGAUCGGCCACAUUGGGACUGAGACACGGCCCAAACUCCUACAGGAGGCAGCAGUAGGGAAUCUUCCGCAAUGGGCGAAAGCCUGACGGAGCAAUGCCGCGUGAGUGAAGAAGGCCUUCGGGUCGUAAAACUCUGUUAUAAGAGAAGAACAAAUUGUAGAGUAACUGCUACAGUCUUGACGGUAUCUUAUCAGAAAGCCACGGCUAACUACGUGCCAGCCGCCGCGGUAA